AUCUCUGGCCAUCCCACUCUUAAUGUGCCUGAAUUUGUUUGCACUCACAAGCGAGGCAGAGUCAGGUCUAGGUGGUCCUUGAAUGGGAGAUCACCUGGGAAUCCUGGGUGCUGUAGGCU
RNAcentral lists this ribosomal RNA (119 nucleotides) under Notamacropus eugenii (tammar wallaby). Lineage: Eukaryota; Metazoa; Chordata; Mammalia; Diprotodontia; Macropodidae. The record is from RNAcentral.